UACGUAGGGGGCAAGCGUUGUCCGGAAUUAUUGGGCGUAAAGAGCGUGUAGGCGGUCCGGUAAGUCAGCUGUGAAAGUCAAGGGCUCAACCCUUGAAAGCCGGUUGAUACUGUCGGGCUAGAGUCCGGAAGAGGCGAGUGGAAUUCCCGGUGUAGCGGUGAAAUGCGCAGAUAUCAGGAGGAACACCAAUAGCGAAGGCAGCUCGCUGGGACGGUACUGACGCUAAGGCGCGAAAGCGUGGGGAGCGAACAGG
This 253-nucleotide ribosomal RNA is filed under the name uncultured bacterium. Its description in RNAcentral is "partial 16S ribosomal RNA". It matches the Rfam family "Bacterial small subunit ribosomal RNA", at positions 524 to 776 of the family's 1533-position model. The record is from RNAcentral.